Molecule: ribosomal RNA, 468 nt
Filed under: uncultured bacterium
Lineage: Bacteria
Description: partial 16S ribosomal RNA
Rfam family: Bacterial small subunit ribosomal RNA
Source: RNAcentral
GACGAACGCUGGCGGCGUGCUUAACACAUGCAAGUCGAACGGAAAGGCCCUGCUUUUGUGGGGUGCUCGAGUGGCGAACGGGUGAGUAACACGUGAGUAACCUGCCCUUGACUUUGGGAUAACUUCAGGAAACUGGGGCUAAUACCGGAUAGGAGCUCCUGCUGCAUGGUGGGGGUUGGAAAGUUUCGGCGGUUGGGGAUGGACUCGUGGCCUAUCAGCUUGUUGGUGGGGUAGUGGCUUACCAAGGCUUUGACGGGUAGCCGGCCUGAGAGGGUGACCGGCCACAUUGGGACUGAGAUACGGCCCAGACUCCUACGGGAGGCAGCAGUGGGGAAUAUUGCACAAUGGGCGGAAGCCUGAUGCAGCAACGCCGCGUGCGGGAUGACGGCCUUCGGGUUGUAAACCGCUUUCGCCUGUGACGAAGCGUGAGUGACGGUAAUGGGUAAAGAAGCACCGGCUAACUACGUG